UCUACCUGCAAAUGACACCCAACGCACCAUCCAGGCACACCCUUGCUCUAUGCCUUGCAACUCCAUCAACCAUCAACCACCAUGAGAGGUUGAAAAUGACUGUGAAUAUGCCUGCCAGCUGUUCUGCGCAUGCUCUGAGAACGUGCCCUGGAAUACCAUGUUGUGAGAGCGAGAUCACCCAAACCUCUGGGUGGGUGACGGCCCUCACACCCGGCUCGAUGUUGUUGUUGUCAAAGCGUGUAUAAAAUGCGUUGUGUUCGUCUGGUAGAGGCGUCAUUGGGCAGAUCACGGUUGGGUCUUCCCUUGUAAUCCGUAAUGGACUGUAGCCCCUGCCACAUGCAGCGGGCGUCAGAGCCUGUGAAAUAUUAUUCCUAUAUUGUUCUUUUGCUCAUUUGAUUACACUGCGGAGGUUAUAGCAGGCCUUUUUGUACUUAUUCCUGUCUUCGAGCGUAGCAUCAGGGUUGUCUACGAUAGCUUUGUGUGCGGUAGCCCUGUUCUUUAGUUUGGCGCCAACCUCUUGGUGUCAUCAAGGCCAGAAGAACCUUUGUAUAAAAUCAGCAUUUCCAUUAGUAUUGAACAGGAACAUAAAGUCUAUCAAAUGUGUACUGUAACAACUGUGUAGCCCAGGGUUUCAGGCGGGUAAAUAUACACACGUAAACCGUGUAGCCGCCAUAAGGCCUUCUGCAUCUGCGGUGGAAGGUGGGCAAGCUACAGCGGUGUUUGUCCCACUGUGAGACAUCCUGAAUAUCUUCUCACGAAAACCACUCUAGCGGCCGAACAGUUUGGCCUAGAAACUAACAUGACCACUUGAUGGAAAGAUGAGACUCUCAUGAACACGAUGGUAUUAGUUAGUUAGUUGCUCUACCACAAGUGUCCUCUGGAGGUAACCCUGAAGCACAGACUGCAAUAUGUUCCGGGAUUCCUCCGAUGGCAUUGAGGAGUACACCACAUCAGUCACCGGCUUCAUCAAUAAGUGCAUCGAUGACGUCAUCCCCACAGUGACUUCUUUCCCGGUUUUUACCUUUCGGCCUGCCUGCCGUUCUAUAUCGUGCCACACCUCUCUGGAUUAUUGACCCCUGCCUGCCCUGACCCUGAGACUGCCUGCCGUUCUGGACCUGUUGCACCCUUUCUGGAUUACUGACCUCUGCCUGCCCUUGACCUGUCGUUUGCCUGCCCCUGUACUAUAAAUAAACUUUUGUUACUUUGACACUGUUUGCAUCUGUGUCAUACCUGAAACCUGAG
Molecule: long non-coding RNA, 1242 nt
Filed under: Salmo salar (Atlantic salmon)
Lineage: Eukaryota; Metazoa; Chordata; Actinopteri; Salmoniformes; Salmonidae
Description: lncRNA (ENSSSAG00000083821.1)
Source: RNAcentral